CUUACGGGGAAAGAUUUAUCGCCGAAAGAUCGGCCCGCGUCUGAUUAGCUAGUUGGUGAGGUAAUGGCUCACCAAGGCGACGAUCAGUAGCUGGUCUGAGAGGAUGAUCAGCCACAUUGGGACUGAGACACGGCCCAAACUCCUACGGGAGGCAGCAGUGGGGAAUAUUGGACAAUGGGGGCAACCCUGAUCCAGCCAUGCCGCGUGAGUGAUGAAGGCCCUAGGGUUGUAAAGCUCUUUUGUGCGGGAAGAUAAUGACGGUACCGCAAGAAUAAGCCCCGGCUAACUUCUUGCCAUCAGCCGCGGUAAUACGAAGGGGGCUAGCGUUGCUCGGAAUCACUGGGCGUAAAGGGUGCGUAGGCGGGUCUUUAAGUCAGGGGUGAAAUCCUGGAGCUCAACUCCAGAACUGCCUUUGAUACUGAAGAUCUUGAGUUCGGGAGAGGUGAGUGGAACUGC
Molecule: ribosomal RNA, 456 nt
Filed under: Bradyrhizobium sp.
Lineage: Bacteria; Pseudomonadati; Pseudomonadota; Alphaproteobacteria; Hyphomicrobiales; Nitrobacteraceae
Description: bacterial SSU rRNA
Rfam family: Bacterial small subunit ribosomal RNA
Source: RNAcentral